Molecule: unclassified non-coding RNA, 406 nt
Filed under: soil metagenome
Description: partial contains 5.8S ribosomal RNA, internal transcribed spacer 2, and large subunit ribosomal RNA
Rfam family: 5.8S ribosomal RNA (bases 1-121)
Source: RNAcentral
GAUGAAGAACGUAGCGAAAUGCGAUAAGUAAUGUGAAUUGCAGAAUUCAGUGAAUCAUCGAAUCUUUGAACGCACCUUGCGCCCUUUGGCCAUUCCGAAGGGCAUGCCUGUUUGAGUAUCAUGAACACCUCAACUCUUCAUGGUUUUCCGUGAUGAGCUUGGACUUUGGGGGUCUUGCUGGCCUAUGGUCAGCUCCUCUAAAAUAAAUCAGCUUGCCAGUGUUUGGUGGGUAUCACAGGUGUGAUAACUAUCUACGCUUGUGGUUUUCCACCAGGUAACCUUCAGCAGUGGAGGUUCGCUGGAGCUCACAGAUGUGUCUCUCCUCAGUGAGGACUGCUCUUUGAAUGUUUGAUCUCAAAUCAGGUAGGACUACCCGCUGAACUUAAGCAUAUCAAUAAGCGGAGGA